This 490-nucleotide ribosomal RNA is filed under the name uncultured bacterium. Its description in RNAcentral is "partial 16S ribosomal RNA". It matches the Rfam family "Bacterial small subunit ribosomal RNA", at positions 30 to 507 of the family's 1533-position model. The record is from RNAcentral.
AUUGAACGCUGGCGGCAGACCUAACACAUGCAAGUCGAACGGUAACAGGAAACAGCUUGCUGUUUCGCUGACGAGUGGCGGACGGGUGAGUAAUGUCUGGGAAACUGCCUGAUGGAGGGGGAUAACUACUGGAAACGGUAGCUAAUACCGCAUAACGUCGCAAGACCAAAGAGGGGGACCUUCGGGCCUCUUGCCAUCGGAUGUGCCCAGAGGGGAUUAGCUAGUAGGUGGGGUAACGGCUCACCUAGGCGACGAUCCCUAGCUGGUCUGAGAGGAUGACCAGCCACACUGGAACUGAGACACGUUCCAGACACCGACGGGAGGCACCAGUGGGGAAUAUUGCACAAUGGGCGCAAGCUUGAUGCAGCCAUGCCGGGUGUAUGAAGAAGGCCUGCGGGUUGUAAAGUACUUUCAGCGGGGAGGAAGGGAGUAAAGUUAAUACCUUUACUCAUUGACGUUACCCGCAGAAGAAGCACCGGCUAACUCCGUG